AGCGGAGCCCUUAAAGUCUGUCGUAGUCCGGAUUGGAGUCUGCAACUCGACUCCAUGAAGUCGGAAUCGCUAGUAAUCGCAGGUCAGCAUACUGCGGUGAAUACGUUCCCGGGCCUUGUACACACCGCCCGUCACACCAUGGGAGUGGAUUGCACCAGAAGUGGUUAGUCUAACCUUCGGGAGGACGAUCACCACGGUGUGGUUCAUGACUGGGGUGAAGUCGUAACAA
RNAcentral lists this ribosomal RNA (229 nucleotides) under Scyphosphaera apsteinii. RNAcentral describes it as "partial Bacterial small subunit ribosomal RNA". It matches the Rfam family "Bacterial small subunit ribosomal RNA", at positions 1266 to 1494 of the family's 1533-position model. The record is from RNAcentral. Lineage: Eukaryota; Haptophyta; Coccosphaerales; Pontosphaeraceae.